AAAUUGAAGAGUUUGAUCAUGGCUCAGAUUGAACGCUGGCGGCAGGCCUAACACAUGCAAGUCGAACGGUAGCACAGAGAGCUUGCUCUCGGGUGACGAGUGGCGGACGGGUGAGUAAUGUCUGGGAAACUGCCCGAUGGAGGGGGAUAACUACUGGAAACGGUAGCUAAUACCGCAUAACGUCGCAAGACCAAAGUGGGGGACCUUCGGGCCUCACACCAUCGGAUGUGCCCAGAUGGGAUUAGCUAGUAGGUGGGGUAACGGCUCACCUAGGCGACGAUCCCUAGCUGGUCUGAGAGGAUGACCAGCCACACUGGAACUGAGACACGGUCCAGACUCCUACGGGAGGCAGCAGUGGGGAAUAUUGCACAAUGGGCGCAAGCCUGAUGCAGCCAUGCCGCGUGUAUGAAGAAGGCCUUCGGGUUGUAAAGUACUUUCAGCGAGGAGGAAGGCGUUGUGGUUAAU
Molecule: ribosomal RNA, 465 nt
Filed under: Salmonella enterica subsp. enterica serovar Kentucky
Lineage: Bacteria; Pseudomonadati; Pseudomonadota; Gammaproteobacteria; Enterobacterales; Enterobacteriaceae
Description: bacterial SSU rRNA
Rfam family: Bacterial small subunit ribosomal RNA
Source: RNAcentral